This 253-nucleotide ribosomal RNA is filed under the name uncultured bacterium. RNAcentral describes it as "partial 16S ribosomal RNA". It matches the Rfam family "Bacterial small subunit ribosomal RNA", at positions 524 to 776 of the family's 1533-position model. The record is from RNAcentral.
UACGUAGGUGGCAAGCGUUAUCCGGAUUUAUUGGGCCUAAAGGGAACGCAGGCGGUCUUUUAAGUCUGAUGUGAAAGCCUUCGGCUUAACCGGAGUAGUGCAUUGGAAACUGGGAGACUUGAGUGCAGAAGAGGAGAGUGGAACUCCAUGUGUAGCGGUGAAAUGCGUAGAUAUAUGGAAGAACACCAGUGGCGAAAGCGGCUCUCUGGUCUGUAACUGACGCUGAGGUUCGAAAGCGUGGGUAGCAAACAGG